GUGAGAAUCUUGUCCACCGAAAGCCUAAGGGUUCCUGAGCAACGAUCGUCGACUCAGGGUAAGUCGGGACCUAAGCCGAGGCGUAGAGCAUAGGCGAUGGACAACUGGCGAAGAAUCCAGUACCACCAAAAGUCGUUUGAGUGAUGGAGUGACACAGAAGGGAAGUUAAGCGCGAGGAUGGAAAGUCGCGUCUAAGCUGGUAGGGUGUACUGCAGGCAAAUCCGCAGUAUGAGAGCCUGAGAAGUGAUGGGUAGC
This 255-nucleotide ribosomal RNA is filed under the name Dendrosporobacter quercicolus DSM 1736. Its description in RNAcentral is "partial 23S ribosomal RNA". It matches the Rfam family "Bacterial large subunit ribosomal RNA", at positions 1321 to 1574 of the family's 2925-position model. Lineage: Bacteria; Bacillati; Bacillota; Negativicutes; Selenomonadales; Sporomusaceae. The record is from RNAcentral.